CUAUCUGCCGUGGGCGCUGGAGAAUUGAGGGGGGCUGCUCCUAGUACGAGAGGACCGGAGUGGACGCAUCACUGGUGUUCGGGUUGUCAUGCCAAUGGCACUGCCCGGUAGCUAAAUGCGGAAGAGAUAAGUGCUGAAAGCAUCUAAGCACGAAACUUGCCCCGAGAUGAGUUCUCCCUGAGACUUUAAGUCUCCUGAAGGAACGUUGAAGACGACGACGUUGAUAGGUCGGGUGUGUAAGCGCAGCGAUGCGUUGAGCUAACCGAUACUAAUGAACCGUGAGGCUUAAUCUUACAACGCCGAAG
Molecule: ribosomal RNA, 305 nt
Filed under: Enterobacter cloacae subsp. cloacae
Lineage: Bacteria; Pseudomonadati; Pseudomonadota; Gammaproteobacteria; Enterobacterales; Enterobacteriaceae
Description: partial 23S ribosomal RNA
Rfam family: Bacterial large subunit ribosomal RNA
Source: RNAcentral